AGAAACUUCUAGAGGUUGAAGUGAGCCAGCUGGGCUGUGUGGACUCAGGAAACAAGUUACUGAAGUAAAAGAAGGGCCCUGGGAGACAGGCUCAGGGGGUUAGGCUGGGAUGAACUGUUUCCCUGAUUGUAAGUCCCCCGGAAACCUUUAGAGCUUAGGAGAAAGAAAAGCAAAGAUAUGUGCCUCAGGAAAGAAGUGGGGAAAGAUGCAGGCAUGUUCCAGAGCAGGAGAGUGUGUGAGCUCACUGGGUCCUUUAUCUUAAGAGUUUUUAUCUGUUUUCUAAAGGCAGAAAUUUUAGGGGAGGUCUCAGGGGAGGAUCUCAUAGAAUAUUCAUCAGCUUUCCAGGUGUGUCCUUUCAGGGUUGUGGCCUCUGUUGAUUGGUCGACAUUAAGGUAGGGGUCAUUGGUCCUUGCAUGGAGUCCUGAUGUCAGCCAUGGUGUUGCUUUGUCUGGUUUGGCUGCUUUUCUGGGCCUGGAGCUGAAACACAACUGAGGCCUAGGUGUUGUCUUUAG
Molecule: long non-coding RNA, 512 nt
Organism: Phyllostomus discolor (pale spear-nosed bat)
Lineage: Eukaryota; Metazoa; Chordata; Mammalia; Chiroptera; Phyllostomidae
Exons: 3
Source: RefSeq, a predicted model, not a curated record